UACGGAAGGCAGCAGUGGGGAAUAUUGCACAAUGGGCGCAAGCCUGAUGCAGCCAUGCCGCGUGUAUGAAAAAGGCCUUCGGGUUGUAAAGUACUUUCAGUCGUGAGGAAGGUGUUAAGGUUAAUAACCUUAGCAAUUGACGUUAGCGACAGAAGAAGCACCGGCUAACUCCGUGCCAGCAGCCGCGGUAAUACGGAGGGUGCGAGCGUUAAUCGGAAUUACUGGGCGUAAAGGGCACGCAGGCGGUUAAUUAAGUUGGAUGUGAAAUCCCCGGGCUUAACCUGGGAAUGGCAUUCAAGACUGGUUAGCUAGAGUCUUGUAGAGGGGGUAGAAUUCCAUGUGUAGCGGUGAAAUGCGUAGAGAUGUGGAGGAAUACCGGUGGCGAAGGCGGCCCCGUGGACAAAGCUGGACGCUCAUGUGCGAAAGCGUGGGGAGCAAACGAGGGAUUAGAUACC
This 455-nucleotide ribosomal RNA is filed under the name uncultured bacterium. RNAcentral's name for it is "bacterial SSU rRNA". It matches the Rfam family "Bacterial small subunit ribosomal RNA", at positions 340 to 786 of the family's 1533-position model. The record is from RNAcentral.